UUUUGGCAAGCUCCUGGACUUCUCGGAUUUGUUCCCACAGAACCUCCGAUGAUCGUCUGGACUUCCGUCGAACUCUCGAACUCCCAACGUGAUCAUAGUCUUGACUCUGGUGCAACUCCUACUGCAUGUCUUACUCCCAUCAUAGUUAAUUCUGCACAUGUAAAACAAAACUUCGAUCGAGACAAUUAAUCCUAAGCAAUUAACCAAGUUGUCCGGCAUGUCAUUGGUCCCUCGACGCUUUGUCUGAUUCUUCGG
RNAcentral lists this long non-coding RNA (255 nucleotides) under Musa acuminata (dwarf banana). RNAcentral's name for it is "long non-coding RNA (MACU_LNC005681)". The record is from RNAcentral. Lineage: Eukaryota; Viridiplantae; Streptophyta; Magnoliopsida; Zingiberales; Musaceae.